UUGGAGGGCAAGUCUGGUGCCAGCAGCCGCGGUAAUUCCAGCUCCAAUAGCGUAUAUUAAAGUUGUUGCAGUUAAAAAGCUCGUAGUUGAAUUUUGGGAUCAGUAUGCUGGUCGUGCCUUCGGUACUAUGCACUGGUGUCACUGAUUCCUCCCUUCUGAAGAACCGUAAUGCCAUUCAGUUGGUGUGGCGGGGAAUCAGGAUUGUUACUUUGAAAAAUUAGAGUGUUUAAAGCAGGCUCGCGCUUGAAUACAUUAGCAUGGAAUAAUGAAAUAGGACGUUUGAUCCUAUUUUGUUGGUUUCUAGGAUCGACGUAAUGAUUAAUAGGGAUAGUUGGGGGCAUUAGUAUUCAAUUGUCAGAGGUGAAAUUCUUGGAUUUAUUGAAGACUAACUACUGCGAAAGCAUUUGCCAAGGAUGUUUUCAUUAAUCAAGAACGAAAGUUAGGGGAUCGAAGACGAUCAGAUACCGUCGUAGUCUUAACCAUAAACUAUGCCGACUAGGGAUCGGAUGAUGUUAAUUUUAAU
This 523-nucleotide ribosomal RNA is filed under the name uncultured Glomus. Its description in RNAcentral is "SSU rRNA". It matches the Rfam family "Eukaryotic small subunit ribosomal RNA", at positions 548 to 1073 of the family's 1831-position model. Lineage: Eukaryota; Fungi; Glomeromycota; Glomeromycetes; Glomerales; Glomeraceae. The record is from RNAcentral.